This 422-nucleotide ribosomal RNA is filed under the name uncultured bacterium. RNAcentral describes it as "bacterial SSU rRNA". It matches the Rfam family "Bacterial small subunit ribosomal RNA", at positions 355 to 774 of the family's 1533-position model. The record is from RNAcentral.
UGAGGAAUAUUGGGCAAUGCCCGAAAGGGUGACCCAGCAACGCCGCGUGGAGGAUGAAGGUCGUAAGAUUGUAAACUCCUGUUAGAGGGGAAGAAUAACUAAGUUUGGAGCUUAGUAUGACUGUACCCUCAGAGAAAGCCCCGGCUAACUACGUGCCAGCAGCCGCGGUAAUACGUAGGGGGCAAGCGUUGUCCGGAUUUACUGGGUGUAAAGGGCGCGCAGGCGGAAUGGAAAGUCAGUGGUGAAAUCCUACAGCUUAACUGUAGAACUGCCUUUGAUACUUUCAUUCUUGAGUUCGGGAGAGGGAGACGGAAUUCCAGGUGUAGUGGUGAAAUACGUAGAGAUCUGGAAGAACACCAGUUGCGAAGGCGGUCUCUUGGUCCGAUACUGACGCUGAGGCGCGAAAGCGUGGGGAGCAAACA